CCUCUCAUCAACAUUCCGAGCCUAAGCUUCUCAUCUCCCUUCUAUCUAUCCUUGUAUUUUCAAUUCCAGUACUUAGAUUCUGCAGUAGCUAUUGUCAUUUAAGUUGAGUUGUAUUUUUUAUUUCACUGUUCAAAGUAAUAGAAAAGGCAUUUGGGAGUGAGUCCCUUUGUUACACACCCUCCCUGAGUUUUCUGAGCUUCAGUGCACCUUAAAUGAGUCUUUGACAACACAGGAAGUUACAGCAAGAAUAUCUUGCCAACUCUUUCACCUGAUGCAAGUAAUACUUUUUAACAUUGUGUCUUGAUGAUUAAGCAUGGAUGAGACCGGGCCGUUUUUCACCGUUUCUUGCUUUGCAAAUUGAUAGAAUCCCUUAACGGGCUUUAGCAAGGGGUCUUAAGACAAUGGCAUGCAUCGCUAUAGCCUAUAUGACUAGUUUCUUUUAUGACGAAGAAUGACUAAGGAGACUUGUGAGUAGCUGCAAAUGAUGUUUGUGCAAGAGUCUAUGCAGUGUUUCGUACGGUCCCAGUUCAAAAUUAAAGAUUUAGGUCACUUGCCCUAUUUGAUCAUCAGAGGAAGUUUGCCUUGGAAUUUGUGUAUUUGUAACUUUCCCUGUUGUAAGUCCUUAAGAACCACAUUCCAAUCAUGGAUUAGAGCAUCAAACUUUUAGCACAUUCCAAUCAUGGAUCAGAGCAUCAAUCUUUGAAGUAGGUUGAUGCUUAGUGGUAGUGCAUACAACAUCUCUAAGAGAAAAGUAUUGAAAACACCCCUAAAUUCGACGCACAUUAUUAGUUUCAUCCUCGA
This 801-nucleotide long non-coding RNA is filed under the name Solanum tuberosum (potato). RNAcentral describes it as "long non-coding RNA (STUB_LNC004732)". The record is from RNAcentral. Lineage: Eukaryota; Viridiplantae; Streptophyta; Magnoliopsida; Solanales; Solanaceae.